Molecule: ribosomal RNA, 574 nt
Filed under: uncultured bacterium
Lineage: Bacteria
Description: partial 16S ribosomal RNA
Rfam family: Bacterial small subunit ribosomal RNA
Source: RNAcentral
UGGGGAAUUUUGGACAAUGGGCGCAAGCCUGAUCCAGCCAUGCCGCGUGCGGGAAGAAGGCCUUCGGGUUGUAAACCGCUUUUGUCAGGGAAGAAAUCUUCUGAGUUAAUACCUCGGGAGGAUGACGGUACCUGAAGAAUAAGCACCGGCUAACUACGUGCCAGCAGCCGCGGUAAUACGUAGGGUGCAAGCGUUAAUCGGAAUUACUGGGCGUAAAGCGUGCGCAGGCGGUUUUGUAAGACAGAGGUGAAAUCCCCGGGCUCAACCUGGGAACUGCCUUUGUGACUGCAAGGCUUGAGUGCGGCAGAGGGGGAUGGAAUUCCGCGUGUAGCAGUGAAAUGCGUAGAUAUGCGGAGGAACACCGAUGGCGAAGGCAAUCCCCUGGGCCUGCACUGACGCUCAUGCACGAAAGCGUGGGGAGCAAACAGGAUUAGAUACCCUGGUAGUCCACGCCCUAAACAAUGUCAACUGGUUGUUGGGAAGGUUCCUUCUCAGUAACGUAGCUAACGCGUGAANUUGACCGCCUGGGGAGUACGGCCGCAAGGUUGAAACUAAAUGAAUUGACGGGGUCAUA